RNAcentral lists this ribosomal RNA (253 nucleotides) under uncultured bacterium. Its description in RNAcentral is "partial 16S ribosomal RNA". It matches the Rfam family "Bacterial small subunit ribosomal RNA", at positions 524 to 776 of the family's 1533-position model. The record is from RNAcentral.
UACGUAGGGGGCAAGCGUUGUCCGGAAUCAUUGGGCGUAAAGCGCGUGUAGGCGGCCCGAUAAGUCCGCUGUGAAAGUCCAGGGCUCAACCCUGGGAUGCCGGUGGAUACUGUCGGGCUCGAGUCCGGAAGAGGCGAGUGGAAUUCCUGGUGUAGCGGUGAAAUGCGCAGAUAUCAGGAGGAACACCGGUGGCGAAGGCGGGUCUCUGGGCCGAUACUGACGCUGAGGAGCGAAAGCGUGGGGAGCAAACAGG